RNAcentral lists this long non-coding RNA (337 nucleotides) under Brassica rapa (field mustard). RNAcentral describes it as "long non-coding RNA (BRAP_LNC003535)". The record is from RNAcentral. Lineage: Eukaryota; Viridiplantae; Streptophyta; Magnoliopsida; Brassicales; Brassicaceae.
ACCUAUCAUGACUGGAGAUCCCAAGACGUAGGUUCAAAGGGAAAACAAAAUCAAACAGAAUCUAACCAAAGCACUUGAGACAAGUAGUUUCUUCCCAGCUCCUAAGAUGAUAAAAGUGCUAACAAAUGUGAGAAGGAUAAGCAUAAGCUUUUAAUGAUUCCAUAGCUUCUUAAGCGGAGUAUUACUCAAUACUUUUCAUGGUCAAUCACCUAAUGAGUGUGAAAUGAGGCCGUUUCUAGGAGAAUGAAUGCAAGGCUAUAUUCUCUAAGUUCACUCAUGAAAACCAGGAAUAGUUCAGGGCCACAAUGAACACAAUAGAGAACUAAGUUCUACGAGA